This 254-nucleotide ribosomal RNA is filed under the name uncultured bacterium. RNAcentral's name for it is "partial 16S ribosomal RNA". It matches the Rfam family "Bacterial small subunit ribosomal RNA", at positions 524 to 776 of the family's 1533-position model. The record is from RNAcentral.
UACGUAGGGUGCGAGCGUUGUCCGGAAUUAUUGGGCGUAAAGAGCUCGUAGGCGGUCUGUCGCGUCGGUCGUGAAAACUUGGGGCUUAACCCUGAGCUUGCGGUCGAUACGGGCAUGACGGGAGUUCGGCAGGGGAGACUGGAAUUCCUGGUGUAGCGGUGAAAUGCGCAGAUAUCAGGAGGAACACCGGUGGCGAAGGCGGGUCUCUGGGCAGUAACUGACGCUGAGGAGCGAAAGCGUGGGGAGCGAACAGG